RNAcentral lists this ribosomal RNA (407 nucleotides) under uncultured bacterium. RNAcentral's name for it is "partial 16S ribosomal RNA". It matches the Rfam family "Bacterial small subunit ribosomal RNA", at positions 28 to 526 of the family's 1533-position model. The record is from RNAcentral.
GACGAACGCUGGCGGCGUGCUUAACACAUGCAAGUCGAACGAAGUGGCGAACGGGUGAGUAAUACGUGAGUAACCUGCCCUCCUUUUUGGGAUAAGCCUUGGAAACGGGGUCUAAUACCGAAUAAAGGGGGAUGGGCUCGCGGCCUAUCAGCUUGGUGGGGGGGUGAUGGGCUACCAAGGCGGUGCCGGGUUGCCGGCCUGAGAGGGUGAACGGCCACAUAUGGACUGCGCAGCGGCCCAGACGAGUAAGCAGGAGAGCAGUGGGGGAUAUUGAAGAAAGGGCGAAAGACUGAUGCAGCGAGAGCGAGGGGGGGUUGAGGACUUUCGAGUUGUGAACUUAUUUAACUAUCGAGAGGGUAGGUGGAGGAAAAGCGCGGGCUAACUACGGGCCAGCGCCGCGGUAAUAC